This 71-nucleotide transfer RNA is filed under the name Camelus bactrianus (Bactrian camel). It matches the Rfam family "tRNA". From Rfam's summary of the family: Transfer RNA (tRNA) molecules are approximately 80 nucleotides in length. Their secondary structure includes four short double-helical elements and three loops (D, anti-codon, and T loops). Further hydrogen bonds mediate the characteristic L-shaped molecular structure. tRNAs have two regions of fundamental functional importance: the anti-codon, which is responsible for specific mRNA codon recognition, and the 3' end, to which the tRNAs corresponding amino acid is attached (by aminoacyl-tRNA synthetases). tRNAs cope with the degeneracy of the genetic code in two manners: having more than one tRNA (with a specific anti-codon) for a particular amino acid; and 'wobble' base-pairing, i.e. permitting non-standard base-pairing at the 3rd anti-codon position. Lineage: Eukaryota; Metazoa; Chordata; Mammalia; Artiodactyla; Camelidae. The record is from Rfam by way of RNAcentral. RNAcentral also lists the same sequence under 1 other name.
GAGGGUAUAGCUCUGUGAUAGAGUACAUGCUUAGCAUGCACAAGGUCCUGGUUCAAUCCCCAGUAUCUUCU